This is a long non-coding RNA of Oreochromis aureus, 1825 nucleotides long. The record is from Ensembl. NCBI's taxonomy places the organism in Eukaryota, Metazoa, Chordata, Actinopteri, Cichliformes, Cichlidae.
CUGACAAAGAAUAGCUCUGUGCUUAAGGCAUUUAAAAUAUGUCAUAUUGCAAAUUCUUUCUAAUGUGGUUUAUGAAUUGGCCACAGUGAUAAUUCAGUUAUUCAGUGCUUCAUGCAGCAGUGCACAAAACAGUUUCUGCUUGACAGGUUUUGAAGUUCUUUCAAUUCAGAAAUGACUGUUUUAGACGGUAUUUGUUUACAUUUUUGGAAUUUGGUGUUGCUGAUUUGACCACAACAAUAAUAAUUACUGUUAUUAUUAUUUUUGCUCUUUACAAUUAGAUAUAUAACCUUGAUAGUGAAGAAAUGUUCAUCAGAUCUCAGUCACGUUUUGUAACCUUCCCAUUCCAGCCCCUGUACACAGUGUUGCACUGUUUACUGCAAAGUAGAUUAUUUGUUUUGUUAUUAAUCCUCUACAGAAAAAUGGGGUAAAAAUGAAUCACACAUAGAUCUAAGUGUAUAAAAUCACUCUUGCAACAUUUGACAGAAAUCUAAUGUGACGUUGUAGCUCAAAUUUGCCAAAUAUUUUGUGGUGGCAUUACAUUUCUCGGCCCUUCCCAUCUUUAAGAUGUCACAUUUUCCACAUGUUUUUAACUACAGCUGGCAGUGAAUGAUGCAUACUUGUUGUAAUUUCCAACCACAAUGCUAGACUCAGACUCACUGUUGAUGCUUUUCUAAAGUAAUCAUUAUCAACAUGGUGAAUUACUGCAGCUCUGUCCUCACAGUUACAGGUGUGAGACACCUGGGUCUGUUGUAGUAUUAGUCUUUUGUAGUCUUGGCCAUCAUUUCUAUGAAAAAGAAAGAAGUAGCUGUUCGCUCACUGCAGAACUCCAGAUUCCUCAUUUAUUACAUCUAGGGAUAUUUCAAGCACACCUGCUUUUCAUCAGACGGCGACACACCAGGCAGUGCCAUCUGAAAUCAGCUGCGAACAGUCACGUGACCACGGCAAAUUGCAAAUGCAUCCAGUCAACAACCUUGUACAGGACAAAGAAUUGAUAAGUGAAUAAUUUGCUGAAUAAAACCAGCAGAUUAGAGAGAGAGAGAUUAUUAAAUCCCAGCUGUGUGUACUUUGAGUUUGACCUCAUGUGAAGUCGAUGAAAUAGUCUGGAUACGCUUCUGGCUUGUUUGUAGUCUAGUGAUGGAAAUGGUCAGUAAAGCAUCAUUUUAGCUUCCAUUAAAGAUGGCAAAGCUAAAAAUCAACUUGUAUAAACCAGGAUCUGAUCAGCACAGACGGGUGAACUUGAACCAGCCUGUCUCAAACUUUAUUCAAAGUAAAUGAAUAUGUGGAAAACUUGUGGAAGCGUUGAUGUUUUCUCAGAAAGACAGAAAUUCUGCACAGGUGCUGCUGCCAGCUAAUUACACUGCAAGAUGUGUUUCCAUUGCUCUGGUUAAGUUUCCAUCAGAUGUGGCCGCGUGUGUUGAAGCCUGAUGUUGGUGGAUCAGGGCCAGAGUGCACACUGUGGUGUCUGCUUUAGUUAACAGGCCAGAGAGAGACCACAGAGACAUUUAAGUCAUCAAGCUGAGGAUUUUCCACCCACUGUCACUCUGUUAAUGUCAGUUCACUUGUUCUGUUGUGUGAAAAUUACAUGCAGCACAGGCCACGCUCACAGAGCCUGUUUGGCUGGCAGCUCUUCCACUUGAAGGUCAGACAGACACACUAACACUGCUUCAUGUUAAAACACACAGCUCCUGCUAUGUUUACAGCUAGCAUUAAAACUACUCUGCCCUCUGAGGAGGAUGAAAUCUGAGAUUUUUGGAAACUAGCCAGUUUGGUUUGAAAAGUUCAGGAUUGUGCAGGAUCGCAGGCUGUGACAGUCAGAGGGUCGUAU